UACGGAGGGUGCAAGCGUUAUCCGGAUUCACUGGGUUUAAAGGGUGCGUAGGUGGGCAGGUAAGUCAGUGGUGAAAUCUCCGGGCUUAACCCGGAAACUGCCGUUGAUACUAUUUGUCUUGAAUAUAGUGGAGGUGAGCGGAAUAUGUCAUGUAGCGGUGAAAUGCUUAGAUAUGACAUAGAACGUCGAUUGCGAAGGCAGCUCGCUACACUAUUAUUGACACUGAGGCACGAAAGCGUGGGGAUCAAACAGG
Molecule: ribosomal RNA, 253 nt
Filed under: uncultured bacterium
Lineage: Bacteria
Description: partial 16S ribosomal RNA
Rfam family: Bacterial small subunit ribosomal RNA
Source: RNAcentral